Molecule: unclassified non-coding RNA, 244 nt
Filed under: Hevea brasiliensis (rubber tree)
Lineage: Eukaryota; Viridiplantae; Streptophyta; Magnoliopsida; Malpighiales; Euphorbiaceae
Source: RNAcentral
GAGAAUAAUGGCAAUUCCAACUGAGGAAUGUAGAAGGCUUUUAAGGAAUGAAGAAUUGAUGGGUCUUGCAGAAGCUCCUGGUUAUUUGCAUCCUUCAGAUGAAUUAUGCCAUGAAAUUGAUUCCCCAAACUCUAUCACAAUUCCUGCAAUAAGUACUCCUGAAGCACAGAAGAAAAGGUUCUCAUCAGAUUCUGAUUCAAAUGAAACUUUUGGGAAAACACCUGAAGCAGCAAUGAAGAGUCCA